GAGGUAGUAAGGGGCGUGAAAAUCUGGCGGUGGUUUGUAGCUUCCGGAAGAUGGCAGUGGCCAUAAGAUCCGUAAAACGCAUUGGGGAGGAACUGGCGCCGUGGGCUAUACAUGGCAAAAUGUGGUCACUCACUCACUCGCUGACGGACAACCUUUGAGGGACGUUUUGCUGGACGCAUUCGCCGGUGGUGCCAGCUAAAAUGUGUCUGUGGAAUGCUGGGAGAGGUGAAGUGGGAAUGCCUUCCCAAAGCCCGGGAGAUUUCAGGACCCUGGACAGCACACUGCAGCCCAUCCUUACGGUCUUCCUCUGGUUGCCUCGGGGAAAGUCUCGCCUUUUCCUCAUGAUGAGAUUUUUUGAUGAUAAUAUUUUUUGCUGCUUAGUUCUCACUAAAUUAAUUUAUUUUUAAUGAAUUACAUUUACAACUAUUGCCCAAUAUCAAUGUAGAAUUCAGCACAGCUCAAAUAUACAUAUUCUGUGUAUCACGUUUGUCAGAGCCAUCUGUUUGUGUUUCUAGUUAUACUAGUGUUUUUAUGCAUUUUAUGUACC
This is a long non-coding RNA of Anguilla rostrata (American eel), 547 nucleotides long. RefSeq lists it as uncharacterized. The transcript is spliced from 3 exons. NCBI's taxonomy places the organism in Eukaryota, Metazoa, Chordata, Actinopteri, Anguilliformes, Anguillidae. The record is from RefSeq and is a predicted model, not a curated record.